Molecule: non-coding RNA, 85 nt
Filed under: unclassified sequences
Description: c-di-GMP sequence
Rfam family: c-di-GMP-II-GAG riboswitch aptamer
Source: Rfam by way of RNAcentral
CGGUUGGCGGGAGGCUCUGACACGCGGUCCACAUCCCGGCCGCCGGGACCGCGCCGAGCCGCUGGCGAGACCGACCCGCGAGGGA